This 468-nucleotide ribosomal RNA is filed under the name uncultured bacterium. Its description in RNAcentral is "partial 16S ribosomal RNA". It matches the Rfam family "Bacterial small subunit ribosomal RNA", at positions 28 to 507 of the family's 1533-position model. The record is from RNAcentral.
GACGAACGCUGGCGGCGUGCUUAACACAUGCAAGUCGAACGGAAAGGCUCCAGCUUUCUGGGGUACUCGAGUGGCGAACGGGGGAGUAACACGUGGGUGAGCUGCCCUGCACUUCGGGAUAAGCCUGGGAAACUGGGUCUAAUACCGGAUAGGACCGCACUUUGGUGUGUGUGGUGGAAAGGUUUUUCUGGUGUGGGAUGAGCUCGCGGCCGAUCCGUUUGUUGGUGGGGUAAUGGCCUACCAAGACGGCGACGGGUAGCCGGCCUGAGAGGGUGGACGGGCACAUUGGGACUGAGAUACGGCCCAGACUCCUACGGGAGGCAGCAGUGGGGAAUAUUGCACAAUGGGGGAAACCCUGAUGCAGCGACGCCGCGUGGGGGAUGAAGGCCUUCGGGUUGGAAACUCCUUUCGCUAGGGACGAAGCUUUUUGUGACGGUACCUGGAGAAGAAGCACCGGCUAACUACGUG